AUUGAACGCUGGCGGCAGGCCUAACACAUGCAAGUCGAGCGAGCGGCGGACGGGUGAGUAAUGUAUGGGAAACUGCCUGAUGGAGGGGGAUAACUACUGGAAACGGUAGCUAAUACCGCAUACCAUCAGAUGUGCCCAGAUGGGAUUAGCGAGUAGGUGGGGUAACGGCUCACCUAGGCGACGAUCCCUAGCUGGUCUGAGCGGAUGACCAGCCACACUGGAACUUAUACACGGUCCAGACUCCUACGGGAGGCAGCAGGGGGGAAUAUUGCGCAAGGGGCGCAAGCCUGAUGCAGCCAUGCCGCGUGGAUGAAGAAGGCCUUCGGGUUGUAAAGUACUUUCAGCGGGGAGGCGUUACCCGCAGAAGAAGCACCGGCUAACUCCGUGCCAGCAGCCGCGGUAAUUC
Molecule: ribosomal RNA, 406 nt
Filed under: uncultured bacterium
Lineage: Bacteria
Description: partial 16S ribosomal RNA
Rfam family: Bacterial small subunit ribosomal RNA
Source: RNAcentral